CAGGGAGAGAAUGUGAGUGCUGACAUGGUGCUUUACAAAACAUCCCAACUUAAACAUUUUAAUCCUGAUAGCGUGAGGAAAAAGCUAGAUUUGCUGAUUCAGAAGAAUCUCUUGACUAAGUAUUUCAGCUUUGCAUCUCUUGAAGCAAAGAGAAAAUUCAGGGCCCCACGAACAUCACCUAAUCAUCCAAUUCCAGAGGAUAAUUCUCCUCUUGUUUCCAAGGAACAUAUCACGCUGGAGGCUGCUGCAUGUAAAACGAACUGCUUGCCGACAUCCCUGCUUGACUCUGAAAACAUUGGCACUGUUUCUCCUGUUGACAACCCUGUGAGUGAUAUGAAUGGGAGUGGUGACAAAUUUCAGUUGAAUAUCACUUGAUAGUUGAUAUCAUCAUUUAGAUGCUCGUCAUCUGGUUCUCAUGCCAGCGGUCUCCGUGCUCCUCUGAAAGAUGUUCGAAAUACUUGUACCAAUAGGCCAACCGUUGGCAUGGACUUAGCGAAUUUGCUUAUGUUCCAAAGACCCAGAAAACUGAAUUAGCGUCUCCCAGAGAUUGAAUUUGGAUUGUAUUUUGCAUAAUGUUUUUCGGGCAGGAUCCAUCUCAGUUGCAACAGGGCUCACUUGCCACAGGGACUUGUUUUAGAUUACUGGAGGCCGUUGCUUACACUGCCACCUGCCUGAUCAUCGAUGUGUUUGUGUUUUUAAAUCAUAUUUCUGUAAUUUUAGAAGUUUCUCUUGUUCUUGUGCAUUAAUUUGUGCAAAAUUCUUUCUGGUUGAAGCAAAUACAAAAUGAAGUUGAUUUCUCUACA
This is a long non-coding RNA of Alnus glutinosa, 803 nucleotides long. RefSeq lists it as uncharacterized. The transcript is spliced from 4 exons. NCBI's taxonomy places the organism in Eukaryota, Viridiplantae, Streptophyta, Magnoliopsida, Fagales, Betulaceae. The record is from RefSeq and is a predicted model, not a curated record.